GGAGAGGUCGCAUAGCCCGGUUGAGUGCGCACGCUUGGAAAGCGUGUAUACAGCAAUGUAUCCAGGGUUCGAAUCCCUGCCUCUCCGCCA
Molecule: transfer RNA, 90 nt
Filed under: Candidatus Orphnella occulta
Lineage: Bacteria; Pseudomonadati; Candidatus Omnitrophota
Description: tRNA-Ser
Rfam family: tRNA
About the family: Transfer RNA (tRNA) molecules are approximately 80 nucleotides in length. Their secondary structure includes four short double-helical elements and three loops (D, anti-codon, and T loops).
Source: RNAcentral